CCUGCCUCCAGCCUCAUGCAGUCAUAAAUAGCACUUGACGGAGAUGGCUGGAUCUCGGAAUUUUGUGUGAUUCAACCAAGUACGGAAAUGAAAAAAUUAGAAAAAAAAAUCAACAUUUUGCAGUCUACAGUGAAAUACUCAACUCAGAAGUGCCUCUCCAGAGUGUCGGUGCUCAAAAGCUAUGAGGUAGUCUCUGUGCUGCCUCUUAUGGCCCACAGAAGUUCAUGUGCAAGGUUAUUCAAGGGUAAGUCUUCGUAGCAAACAUGGGCCUGUGGGCCAGAGGAUUUCUACUUCUGUUCGUUAGUGGAAGGAAAAGGUGCAUGAAGCUGAAUGGGAUUCAAAGGAGGGCCAUUAGACACUUUCUUGAGAGAUCAGAGAGCAGGCUAGAGGCCCUACCUGGGAAAACCAAUGAAGACAGCGGGCAUGGAGUUUUAUCCCAGAGUGCCCUUCUGCAGCCUCAGAGAAGCUGCCUCCAGGAAAAGACUCAGGUGCAUUUCAACUUUGUCUGCUCCCGCUGGAGAGAAAGCCAGGAUUAGAUUAAGC
Molecule: long non-coding RNA, 543 nt
Filed under: Heterocephalus glaber (naked mole-rat)
Lineage: Eukaryota; Metazoa; Chordata; Mammalia; Rodentia; Bathyergidae
Description: lncRNA (ENSHGLG00000033819.1)
Source: RNAcentral